Molecule: ribosomal RNA, 492 nt
Filed under: uncultured bacterium
Lineage: Bacteria
Description: partial 16S ribosomal RNA
Rfam family: Bacterial small subunit ribosomal RNA
Source: RNAcentral
AGUGAACGCUGGCGGUAGGCCUAACACAUGCAAGUCGAACGGCAGCACAGUAAGAGCUUGCUCUUACGGGUGGCGAGUGGCGGACGGGUGAGGAAUACAUCGGAAUCUACUUUUUCGUGGGGGAUAACGUAGGGAAACUUACGCUAAUACCGCAUACGACCUACGGGUGAAAGCAGGGGAUCUUCGGACCUUGCGCGAGUGAAUGAGCCGAUGUCGGAUUAGCUAGUUGGCGGGGUAAAGGCCCACCAAGGCGACGAUCCGUAGCUGGUCUGAGAGGAUGAUCCGCCACACUGGAAGUGAGACACGGUCCAGACUCCUACGGGAGGCAGCAGUGGGGAAUAGUGGACAAUGGGGGCAAGCCUGAUCCAGCCAUACCGCGUGGAUGAAGAAGGCCUUCGGGUUGUAAAGCCCUUUUGUUGGGAAAGAAAAGCAGCAGGUUAAUCCCCCGCUGUUCUGACGGUACCCAAAGAAUAAGCACCGGCUAACUUCGUG